Molecule: non-coding RNA, 45 nt
Organism: Daphnia magna
Lineage: Eukaryota; Metazoa; Arthropoda; Branchiopoda; Diplostraca; Daphniidae
Source: Rfam
AAAACGGUCCUUUUCAGGACCACAACUUCAUUUUGAAAAGACUAC